RNAcentral lists this long non-coding RNA (1354 nucleotides) under Homo sapiens (human). RNAcentral's name for it is "HSALNT0310810". The record is from RNAcentral. Lineage: Eukaryota; Metazoa; Chordata; Mammalia; Primates; Hominidae.
UAUUUUCAGAACUCUACCUCUUGGAACAUUCCCUCUCAGAUUCCAACCACGAUACUGAAAAAACCAAAGCCCAGUCUAGCCAUUUAAAGAGAACACAUGGAAGUAAACCAAGAACCCAGCCAAUAUCCCCAGAAUGAAGUCUAAAAAAAAAAAAAAAAAAAGGAUCAUCUUAGUAAAUGCAGACAAGAGCAUUUGACGAAGUCCAACUGUCUUUCGUGAUAAAAGCACUCAGCUAGGAACAGAAAGAAACAUCCUCAGCCCAAUGAAAGACAUCUGCACAAUUCUCAGAAAUUGACAAGAUGAUCCUAAAAUUUAUCUAGAAACACACGGGACACAGAACAGCCAAGAUAAUUUUGAAAAAUAAGAACGAAGGACUCAUACUUCUUGAUUUCAAAACUGACUACAAAGCUACAGUAAUUAACACUGUGUGAGACUGGCAUAAGGAUAUGCAUAUAGAUUGAUAAAAUAAAACUGAGAAGCCCUUGAGAAAUAAACCUUAUAUAUAUGGUCAACUGAUUUUUGACAAUAAUGACAAGAAAAUUCAAUAGGAAAAGAAGUUAUUUCAACAAAUGGUACUGGGACAACUGGAUACACACAUGCAAAAGGAUGAAGUUGGAACCUUACCUCAUACCAUAUGCAAAAAUUAAUGCUAAAUGAGUCAUAGACCUAUAUAUAAGAAUUAGAACUAUAAAACUUAUGGAAGAAAAUAUAGGUGUAAGUCUUUGUGAUUUUGGAUUACACAAUGGUUUCCUAGAAUGACUCUUAAGCACAAGCAACCAAAUCAAUAAGUUGGAUUUCAUCAAAAUUGAAAACUUUUGUGCCUCAAAGGACAUUAUCAAGACAAUGAGAAGAGAACACAUAGAAGAACACACUUACAAAUCAUAUAUCUGAUACAUAUCUGCUUUCCAAAAUAAGUAAAAACUUUUAUAACUCAAUAAUAAAAACACAAGUAACCCAGUUUAAAAAUGGGCAAAAACAAAGUUGUUAAACUUCAUGAGUUACAGAAAAAUGCAAUGAAAAACCAUAGUGAGAUACCAUGUCAUACCCACUAGUGUGGCUAUGAUCCAAAAGACAGAUUAAAUAAUAACUAUUGGCAAACAUGUAGGAGAUUGGAACCUUCACAUAUUCCUGGUAGAAAUGGAAAAUGGUGCAGUCACUUUGGAAGACAAUUUGGCAGUUUCUCAAAAAGUUAAACAUAGAAUUACCAUAUUGAGGAGUAUGGCUGCAGGCCAAAAUCCUAUGUAUUAUCUUUCAGGCAGGACCCUAGACAGUUACAAGGCUUUGCCCGGCAGACCUCAUUGGGGGAAACUGCCAUCUCCACAUCAGACUUGGUACACAGCUAGUAUGUUACAGC